AGGAAACCAAUAAAAUCAAUCAUCUUCAGUUUUGAAAGACUUAGGAUAACUAAGUUUUUCUUCGUGACUUCACGAAGGGCCUAUAGCUCAGUUGGUUAGAGCACACGCCUGAUAAGCGUGAGGUCGGUGGUUCAAGUCCAUUUAGGCCCACCAGAGUUAUAGGUGUCGUAAGAACACAAAUUCUUUGAAAAUUAGGUAAAUAAUAGUUAUUUUUCCGGAACAUU
This 224-nucleotide unclassified non-coding RNA is filed under the name Candidatus Phytoplasma citri. Its description in RNAcentral is "Candidatus Phytoplasma aurantifolia 16S-23S ribosomal RNA intergenic spacer". The stretch from base 77 to 150 matches the Rfam family "tRNA". Lineage: Bacteria; Bacillati; Mycoplasmatota; Mollicutes; Acholeplasmatales; Acholeplasmataceae. The record is from RNAcentral.